Octopus sinensis (East Asian common octopus) is the source of this 107-nucleotide long non-coding RNA. RefSeq lists it as uncharacterized. The transcript has 3 exons. NCBI's taxonomy places the organism in Eukaryota, Metazoa, Mollusca, Cephalopoda, Octopoda, Octopodidae. The record is from RefSeq and is a predicted model, not a curated record.
UAUGUAUGUAUGUAUAUAUAUAUAUAUAUAUCAAAGUAAGCACAUAAAUGUGAAACAAAGUGGAAAAAUAAGUACUCAAACACCAGAAGUAGAGUAAUAAGCUUUAU